RNAcentral lists this ribosomal RNA (255 nucleotides) under uncultured Gigaspora. RNAcentral describes it as "partial 18S ribosomal RNA". It matches the Rfam family "Eukaryotic small subunit ribosomal RNA", at positions 624 to 886 of the family's 1831-position model. Lineage: Eukaryota; Fungi; Glomeromycota; Glomeromycetes; Diversisporales; Gigasporaceae. The record is from RNAcentral.
AAGCUCGUAGUUGAAUUUCGGGGUUCUACCAUUGGACGGGCAAUAGUCAGUACUAGUGUGUAGAAUUUCUACCUUCUGGGGAACUAUCAUGUUAUUUAUUUAGCGUGGUAGGAAACCAGGACCUUUACCUUGAAAAAAUUAGAGUGUUCAAAGCAGGCUUACGUCUGAAUACAUUAGCAUGGAAUAAUAAAAUAGGACGGUGGUCCUGUUUUGUUGGUUUCUGAAUCACCGUAAUGAUUAAUAGGGAUAGUUGGG